RNAcentral lists this non-coding RNA (30 nucleotides) under Cricetulus griseus (Chinese hamster). The record is from RNAcentral. Lineage: Eukaryota; Metazoa; Chordata; Mammalia; Rodentia; Cricetidae.
UGGCUUGGAAACAGUGGAAAGCAGAUAUGG